UUCAUAAUCGGGAGCGUCCUUAUAUUAAAAUAGUCUUCUUCUCACAACGAAUAAUACUUUAGCUAUUUGACCAACGAUGUUUAAAAAAAAAGACAACGAAUUUAAUGUCAUCUUAAUUUCCCUAUUUUUGAAUGUAAUUAUAAGUCUGUUCAACUGGCAAGAAUACCCCUAAAGCGGACAAGCAGUUUAUUCUUUAAAUUGCUGUCAUUGAAUAUCAAGAAAGAAAAUAAAUCCCGAAAUCAAUUUGAAACUUUAAUACUCAAAAGUUUUCCUAGAAAAUAUUCACAUCCCUUGGGGUUUAUUAGUGUACGUCCAGUUGCAUAUGUUUUACAUGAAUGUCGGAACAAUUGUGAUGAUGUCGAAUUUCUUCCUUUAUUGGAGAACGAUCUAAUUGAUAUAUAAAUUUGUGAUUUUACUAUGUUCAUAACUUCGAUGAACCGAAGCAAGUUAUUAUAUCGACCUGUAUUUAAAUCAAAUUGGUCUCUUCUUCUUCUUCUUCUUUUGGUAUACAAUAGUCUAUCGAAUUCGAUGAUUACAUACUGUUGGCAUACGUGGACUAGUCUAUUUACAAAACUGUUACCCCAAUUUACACAAAAUGUAUGUUUCUUUCUUAUGUUCAAUGUAUACAUGUAUAUAUUUUAAAUUGCGAUAUAGCUCCGUAACUUUCUAUCCAGGCGUAGAAAUGAAUCGUCGACAAGUGCGUACAUUUUUUUAAA
This 716-nucleotide long non-coding RNA is filed under the name Mytilus galloprovincialis (Mediterranean mussel). The record is from RNAcentral. Lineage: Eukaryota; Metazoa; Mollusca; Bivalvia; Mytilida; Mytilidae.